Molecule: ribosomal RNA, 509 nt
Filed under: Latilactobacillus sakei
Lineage: Bacteria; Bacillati; Bacillota; Bacilli; Lactobacillales; Lactobacillaceae
Description: bacterial SSU rRNA
Rfam family: Bacterial small subunit ribosomal RNA
Source: RNAcentral
AGAGUUUGGACCUGGCUUAGUACGAACGCUGGCGGCGUGCCUAAUACAUGCAAGUCGAACGCACUCUGGUUUAGAUAGAAGAAGCUUGCUUCUGAUUGAAAAACAUUUGAGUGAGUGGCGGACGGGUGAGUAACACGUGGGUAACCUGCCCUAAAGUGGGGGAUAACAUUUGGAAACAGAUGCUAAUACCGCAUAAAACCUAGCACCGCAUGGUGCAGGGUUGAAAGAUGGUUUCGGCUAUCACUUUAGGAUGGACCCGCGGUGCAUUAGUUAGUUGGUGAGGUAAAGGCUCACCAAGACCGUGAUGCAUAGCCGACCUGAGAGGGUAAUCGGCCACACUGGGACUGAGACACGGCCCAGACUCCUACGGGAGGCAGCAGUAGGGAAUCUUCCACAAUGGACGCAAGUCUGAUGGAGCAACGCCGCGUGAGUGAAGAAGGUUUUCGGAUCGUAAAACUCUGUUGUUGGAGAAGAACGUAUUUGAUAGUAACUGAUCAGGUAGUGACGGU